Molecule: ribosomal RNA, 301 nt
Filed under: uncultured bacterium
Lineage: Bacteria
Description: partial 16S ribosomal RNA
Rfam family: Bacterial small subunit ribosomal RNA
Source: RNAcentral
CAGUCGCCACGGGAAUACGAAGGGGGCUAGCGUUGCUCGGAAUCACUGGGCGUAAAGCGCACGUAGGCGGAUCGUUAAGUCAGAGGUGGAAGCCUGGAGCUCAACUCCAGAACUGCCUUUGAUACUGGCGAUCUCGAGUCCGGAAGAGGUAAGUGGAACUGCGAGUGUAGAGGUGAAAUUCGUAGAUAUUCGCAAGAACACCAGUGGCGAAGGCGGCUUACUGGCCCGGUACUGACGCUGAGGUGCGAAAGCGUGGGGAGCAAACAGGAUUAGAUACCCCGGUAGUCCCUGUCUCUUAUAC